RNAcentral lists this ribosomal RNA (865 nucleotides) under uncultured bacterium. RNAcentral describes it as "bacterial SSU rRNA". It matches the Rfam family "Bacterial small subunit ribosomal RNA", at positions 1 to 885 of the family's 1533-position model. The record is from RNAcentral.
UAGAGUUUGAUCCUGGCUCAGGACGAACGCUGGCGGCGUGCUUAACACAUGCAAGUCGAACGAUGAAGCUCAGCUUGCUGGGUGGAUUAGUGGCGAACGGGUGAGUAACACGUGGGUGAUCUGCCCUGCACUUCGGGAUAAGCCUGGGAAACUGGGUCUAAUACCGGAUAUGACCAAAGGCUGCAUGGUUUUUGGUGGAAAGUUUUUCGGUGCAGGAUGAGCCCGCGGCCUAUCAGCUUGUUGGUGGGGUAAUGGCCUACCAAGGCGACGACGGGUAGCCGGCCUGAGAGGGCGACCGGCCACACUGGGACUGAGACACGGCCCAGACUCCUACGGGAGGCAGCAGUGGGGAAUAUUGCACAAUGGGCGAAAGCCUGAUGCAGCGACGCCGCGUGAGGGAUGACGGCCUUCGGGUUGUAAACCUCUUUCACCCAUGACGAAGCGCAAGUGACGGUAGUGGGAGAAGAAGCACCGGCCAACUACGUGCCAGCAGCCGCGGUAAUACGUAGGGUGCGAGCGUUGUCCGGAAUUACUGGGCGUAAAGAGCUCGUAGGCGGUUUGUCGCGUCGUCUGUGAAAUCCCGCAGCUCAACUGCGGGCUUGCAGGCGAUACGGGCAAACUUGAGUACUGCAGGGGAGACUGGAAUUCCUGGUGUAGCGGUGAAAUGCGCAGAUAUCAGGAGGAACACCGGUGGCGAAGGCGGGUCUCUGGGCAGUAACUGACGCUGAGGAGCGAAAGCGUGGGUAGCGAACAGGAUUAGAUACCCUGGUAGUCCACGCCGUAACGGUGGGCGCUAGGUGUGGGUUUCCUUCCACGGGAUCCGUGCCGUAGCUAACGCAUUAAGCGCCCCGCCUGGGGAGUACGG